Molecule: ribosomal RNA, 492 nt
Filed under: uncultured bacterium
Lineage: Bacteria
Description: partial 16S ribosomal RNA
Rfam family: Bacterial small subunit ribosomal RNA
Source: RNAcentral
AGUGAACGCUGGUGGUAGGCCUAACACAUGCAAGUCGAACGGCAGCACAGUAAUAGCUUGCUCUUACGGUUGGCGAGUGGCGGACGAGUGAGGAAUACAUCGGAAUCUACUUUUUCGUGGGGGAUAACGUAGGGAAACUUACGCUAAUACCGCAUACGACCUACGGGUGAAAGCAGGGGAGCUUCGGACCUUGCGCGAUUGAAUGAGCCGAUGUCGGAUUAGCUAGUUGGCGGGGUAAAGGCCCACCAAGGCGACGAUCCGUAGCUGGUCUGAGAGGAUGAACAGCGACACUGGAACUGAGACACGGUCCAGACUCCUACGGGAGGCAGCAGUGGGGAAUAUUGGACAAUGGGCGCAAGCUUGAUCCAGCCAUACAGCGUGGGUGAAGAAGGCCUUCGGGUUGUAAAGCCCUUUUGUUGGGAAAGAAAAGCAGCAGGUUAAUACCCCGCUGUUCUGACGGUACCCAAAGAAUAAGCACCGGCUAACUUCGUG